RNAcentral lists this ribosomal RNA (627 nucleotides) under Lactobacillaceae bacterium CIA-07. RNAcentral describes it as "bacterial SSU rRNA". It matches the Rfam family "Bacterial small subunit ribosomal RNA", at positions 590 to 1217 of the family's 1533-position model. The record is from RNAcentral. Lineage: Bacteria; Bacillati; Bacillota; Bacilli; Lactobacillales.
GUGAGUGAAAGCCUUCGGCUCAACCGAAGAAGUGCAUCGGAAACUGGGAAACUUCCCUGAAGAAGAGGACAGUGGAACUCCAUGUGUAGCGGUGAACUGCGUAGAUAUAUGGAAGAACACCAGUGGCGAAGGCGGCUGUCUGGUCUGUAACUGACGCUGAGGCUCGAAAGUAUGGGUAGCAAACAGGAUUAGAUACCCUGGUAGUCCAUACCGUAAACGAUGAAUGCUAAGUGUUGGAGGGUUUCCGCCCUUCAGUGCUGCAGCUAACGCAUUAAGCAUUCCGCCUGGGGAGUACGGCCGCAAGGCUGAAACUCAAAGGAAUUGACGGGGGCCCGCACAAGCGGUGGAGCAUGUGGUUUAAUUCGAAGCUACGCGAAGAACCUUACCAGGUCUUGACAUACUAUGCAAAUCUAAGAGAUUAGACGUUCCCUUCGGGGACAUGGAUACAGGUGGUGCAUGGUUGUCGUCAGCUCGUGUCGUGAGAUGUUGGGUUAAGUCCCGCAACGAGCGCAACCCUUAUUAUCAGUUGCCAGCAUUAAGUUGGGCACUCUGGUGAGACUGCCGGUGACAAACCGGAGGAAGGUGGGGAUGACGUCAAAUCAUCAUGCCCCUUAUGACCUGGGCUAA